UACGUAGGGCGCAAGCGUUAUCCGGAAUUAUUGGGCGUAAAGAGCUCGUAGGCGGUUUGUCGCGUCUGCCGUGAAAGUCCGGGGCUCAACUCCGGAUCUGCGGUGGGUACGGGCAGACUAGAGUGAUGUAGGGGAGACUGGAAUUCCUGGUGUAGCGGUGAGAUGCGCAGAUAUCAGGAGGAACCCCGAUGGCCAAGGCAGGUCUCUGGGCAUUAACUGACGCUGAGGAGCGAAAGCAUGGGGAGCGAACAGG
Molecule: ribosomal RNA, 253 nt
Filed under: uncultured bacterium
Lineage: Bacteria
Description: partial 16S ribosomal RNA
Rfam family: Bacterial small subunit ribosomal RNA
Source: RNAcentral